UACGUAGGGGGCAAGCGUUGUCCGGAUUUAUUGGGCGUAAAGGGUGCGUAGGCGGCGGGGCAAGUCUGAUGUGAAAUCCCGGGGCUCAACCCCGGAACUGCAUUGGAUACUGCCUUGCUUGAGUACUGGAGAGGAGACUGGAAUUUACGGUGUAGCAGUGAAAUGCGUAGAUAUCGUAAGGAAGGCCAGUGGCGAAGGCGAGUCUCUGGACAGUUCCUGACACUGAGGCACGAAGGCCAGGGGAGCAAACGGG
RNAcentral lists this ribosomal RNA (253 nucleotides) under uncultured bacterium. RNAcentral describes it as "partial 16S ribosomal RNA". It matches the Rfam family "Bacterial small subunit ribosomal RNA", at positions 524 to 776 of the family's 1533-position model. The record is from RNAcentral.